CAUUUGAAAGAUUGUAUUCUUUUUUUCUUUGUUUGUCAAUUAAAUGGUUUCAAGUGCAAAGCAGGCCUUUAUGUUAAACGCCACAAACUUUUAA
Sinocyclocheilus rhinocerous is the source of this 94-nucleotide long non-coding RNA. RefSeq lists it as uncharacterized. NCBI's taxonomy places the organism in Eukaryota, Metazoa, Chordata, Actinopteri, Cypriniformes, Cyprinidae. The transcript is spliced from 4 exons. The record is from RefSeq and is a predicted model, not a curated record.